Molecule: long non-coding RNA, 95 nt
Organism: Nomascus leucogenys (northern white-cheeked gibbon)
Lineage: Eukaryota; Metazoa; Chordata; Mammalia; Primates; Hylobatidae
Exons: 3
Source: RefSeq, a predicted model, not a curated record
AAAUAAUAUCUCUUCUGUUUAAAUUUUAAGGAACUGCCGGAUUCUUUUCCAAAGUGGCCACAUCAUUUUGCAUUCCAACCAGCAGUGUAUGAGGG